Molecule: long non-coding RNA, 1804 nt
Filed under: Macaca mulatta (Rhesus monkey)
Lineage: Eukaryota; Metazoa; Chordata; Mammalia; Primates; Cercopithecidae
Description: lncRNA (ENSMMUG00000052615.1)
Source: RNAcentral
GCACACCUGUCCCCUAGUACCAUACGCAUGUGGGCGCUCCAGGUCUGCAGUUUGUACCUGGACAUCGUUGCCAAUCUAAGUGCCCAUCCGAGCCUCCUGCGGAUCAGGCUUGCAGAUGCUCCCUCGCUCUUCCCUGACGCAGCCCCAGCUGAAGCAGGGGCCUUGGCAAUAAGGGUGGGAGGAUGUCCAGGCUACAGGUGCCCCGGCGGGAAGGAGGUACCAGGCAGCCAACACAGCUUACUGCAAAGGCCCUGAGGUGGGAGCCCGCUUGGCCCAGGGUGUGGCCGGGGGAGAGGACAGGGGUGAGGUGGGGCUGGCCGCGUUGGCCAUGAAAAGGCUUCUAACAAGAGACCGUGGCCAGGUCCCCCAGGUGAGCUCUGGGCCGCUGCCUAGUGAAUUGAAUGACUCGUAUUGUUCCCAAGGCUGCAGCUGCGGCCUCGGAAGUGACUCAGCAGAAUUCCUGGGAGUUGGGGUGGGGGCGAGGCUUGCUCCAGAUGGGCUGGGGGAGGGGGCAUUGCCCGCGCUCAAGCCCCUCCUCCCAGCUCCUGCGGACCGCGGAGCUCGCCCACUCUCGCGUCCUCCCCUCCGCCCAGACAUCUGCAGGCACCAGCGGCGACGAGACGGGGAUGAUGCUGGAAGACUUAGGGUGGGACGGCCCCAUCCUCUCGGAACCCCGGUCCCUGAGACUGAUUUGAGGGUGGGGUGGGGGCUGACUCUGCCCUCAAAACGGGGCUCACGGCUUUUGGCUUGGAGCAAGCAGGGUUGGCCCUGUCCGGGCCCCGGAGUGACUCAGCUCAGUCCUGGCCCUCUCCGGGACUGACUCCCUUCCUCUAAACAAAGGGAAUCUUUCACCCAACAGACGGCAGUGGGUCCGCGGAGAUAAAACAGGCCCUCCAGAGUGAUCCCUCCCCUGGUGGCUGAUGGGACAUGAGUGUGUUGGGAGAGAGGGAGCGGGCAGCUCUCCACCCCAGGCUGGGGCAGACUGGAGUGAAGGUCCAAGCGCUGGACCCGAGCAGCGGCCUCAGCCCCAAUCUAAAAGCUCAGCCUCAGUUUUCCCACGCAUACAAUGGGCAUAACGGUCCCAAGAAUGAGGCUUGCUGGAGUUACUGGCAGGCUGAACGCUGUCCGCCUAAUUCACCUAAUUCAGGGCAAGAACCGCGCUCUGGCCCCUGCACCUGGGAGAGGUGGGGUGCUGGACCGAAGGCGAAGUAACAGCGUCCUUCAGGGUCCAUCCCCAAAUUGCCUUCCUUAGGGAAGCCGGAACAAACGAUGCGGCGGGGUGGCCCUGGGUCUGUUCCCUCCUAAGAGGUGGAGCAGGGACAGCAGCAUCCUAGACCCCGGCAGCCCGCGCGCGCGCCCUCGCACCAUCUCCCCUACCUGGUUGGUUGGGUUGUAGGGCUCCAAGCGACCGCCAGGUGGCGCCAUAGACGCGCCUGCUGCGCCAAGCUGGGUGGGGCUGGACUCGUCCGGUGAUGGGGCCCUUUGGGCAGCCAGGCACUGUUUUUUGAGUUUUGUUUUGUUUUGUUUUGUUUUUUCCAGACAGAGUUUCACUCUUGUUGCCUAGGCUGGAAGGUUGCAGUGAGCCAAGAUCUCGCCACGGCACUCUAGCCUGGGCAGCAGAGUGAGACUGUCUCAAAAAAAAAAAAAAAAAAAUUAGCUGAAAGCAGUGGCACGGGAGGCUGAGAUGGGAGGAUCGGUUGAGCCCAGGCAGUGGAGGCUGCAGUGAGCCAUAAUUGCGCCACUGCACUACUCCAGCAUGGGCGAGAGAGCAAGACCCUGUUUCAAAAAAAAAAAAAAAAAAAAA